CUGGAGGGAAUCUCAGGAUCUCAACACAAGCUGUACUUAUCUAUUCUAAUUCCAAGGGGCUUUUCUAACUCUCUCCAAGGCUCACCUCUUAUGGAUGCUUCUCAGUUUAUGGCAGGUUACAUCCAGCAUAUACUGGAAAUGUCACAAGUCAGUGUGUGGCUCAGCUGCAGGGCUCUUGCCUAGCAUUUGCGAGGCCCUGGGUCCCAUCCCUAGCUCAAAAGAAAAAAAAAAAACAAUGAAAGGAAAACAUUCUGAGUCAAAAAUUCAUUGAACACCCCUAAUCCCUCAAACAUCCCAGCUCAGCAACACAGCACACUGCGGAGUGAAGGAUCACAGGCUGCCUGGGAUGCUGCUCACUGGCACAGCCCAACAUGGAGAGAGCAACUACCUCACCACAUUUCACCAGUCCAGGACAAGAUCUAAAUUGGAAAUUUGAAGCACAGUUUAUUCUGAAUAUGUGUAUCACUCUCAUACGACCCUAAGUGGGAUUGUCAUAAGUUGGGACUGUCUGUUCAGCCUUGGAACCUGAAUCCCCCUUUUGACUACUGAUUCUCCUGCCAGUGACCUGAGUCCUUUGUCAGACUCUUGCAGCUCCCGCAAGCUGGCCUGGCUGCCUCAGAUCAGGAAUGAGGCCUGGGCUGCCUUCCUGUGUCUGCCUACCAAGUAGUCCUACCUUCUCCAAGUCUAUGGGUCUCUCCUCCCUUCCGCUCUCUAAACAGAAUGAAGAGAAAUUGAUCCCAAGUGGCAAAUGAUGGCUGACCCCCUUUUCUAUUUCCUGCCUCUGUGCUUUUUGCUUUCUAUUUCAAGGUCCCUUGCUGUCCCUUGCCUUUAUACCUCCCACUCACCUCAGAUGUGCUUCUCAUAGGACCCUCUUCUGAGCUCCUCUAACAUCCCACACAUACCCCCAUUACGACAACUUUCAUUUUCAGUUUUUUGUUUAUUGCACCAUUCAAAAUAAAUGUUUAUUGAGUACCUGCUAUGUGCCAGACCUGAAUCCAGGUGCUGGGAAUUCCAUCAGUGAACAAAUCAUAUUCCAGCUGGUGGGGACUGGCCAGGGGAAGCCUGUUUGGAAGCCAGGGAGCAAAUAAAAUAAGUAGAGUUAUAUCAUUUAAUAACAAGAUGAGUUCUGAGAUGUGACCUUAGGCAAUUUCAUCAUCAUGAGAUUAUCAUAGAAUACACUUACACAAACUUGAUGAUCUUUUUCCACUACAUGCCUGCACCAUGUGGUCUGUACAUGAUAUGGCCUUCUGCUCCCAGAGCCACAAUGAGCAAAGCAACAAAGAUUAAGUCCACAGGAAAAAAGAAAUGAUGUAAUCAAAAGACAUGGUAAACACAUGACAUAUGAAGCAGCUGCCAUCAUCAAACAGAACACUCUUUACAGGAAAG
RNAcentral lists this long non-coding RNA (1386 nucleotides) under Marmota monax (woodchuck). Lineage: Eukaryota; Metazoa; Chordata; Mammalia; Rodentia; Sciuridae. The record is from RNAcentral.